UGGUUGGGGGUAGUGUAGAAAGUGGAUUCCAACUCCAUCUCAUGUGACUCGAGCUAGAAUUUCUUUAUCAUCCCUACGUGUAUAUAUAAGGACCCCAUGAAAGAAAUAAUUAAUGCAUGGCCAUAUCAAAACCUCCAUAAUUUGUCUCCCUUUCUCUCUCUCAGCUCUCUCUCUUUCUCCUCUUUCGCAUGUAUUAACUGUUGAGGGGAUUGCUGUCUGGUUCGAUGUCAUUCAUGUGAAGCUUUAACAUUAAUGUAGUAUUGAGUGAUUUCGGACCAGGCUUCAUUCCCCCCAACUAUAUUUGUUUAGCAUUCGGAGGGUGUAAUAAGACUUUUGUUGUCGUAUACUUGUGAUUUUGAUCAAUUUGUUUCUCUGGUGAAGAUAACACACCCCAUUGAUACAUAAUUCAGCUAUCAGAGGUCGCAGUACUAAUUAACUGGAACCAGGAGAGCAAGAAAGGAGCCUGUCUUGAGGUUUACAAGGUCUGGCUUUCUGAGCUUUUGUGCCUCUUUUAGUUCGAUAUGAUCUUCAGGGAUAUCACCAUAACUUCUCAUUUGUAGCAGGUGGGUCAGAUAUUAACUCUUGCGGGUCAACUUUAAAUAAAUAAAUAAAACUAGAACUACCAUAACUGGGAUCAGAUUUAUAUUUGUUGCCAUAUAUAUAUAUAUAUAUAUAGAGAGAGAGAGAGAGAGAGAGAGAGAGAGAGAGAGAGAGGAACAGUAGCUCCGUGGCUGCUUUAACUUGAUAUUAGGAGGAUUGUUAGUCAAAAUAAUCAAAUCGUGUAUAAAUUUUAUCAACUAAUUAGCUAAGAUGAACAAGCAGUUGUAAAUUGUAAUUGCACUGUUAAUUAAUUACAUGAUAUUACUACGUACGUUAAUUAAUGAGUUCACUUCAAUUCGUAUCCAUGUUCUCUUCUUCUUAGGGUCUCAUGUUAGAGGCUCUCCUUUAAUUACUAAAAAAAAACAUGAUGUGACGACAAUAUCAACAUUUGUUAGUGUAGAAAUACCACCAUCUUUUGUGGGGAUUCUCAUGUUGAAAGUAAUAAAAAAAAAUUGAAAGAUUCGAAUCGAAGUGCUGCUUGGUGCGAUGUGAAAGGGAUGAAGAUGGAAGAUCAAAGGGGGCGCGGAAAAAAACAAGUUCAAUCGGUUGAUCACCUCUCUAGAGAAUCUGGUCGUGCCCACAUUUUGAUGUAACUACUUUUCCAUGCAUCAAUAUUGAAGGGCUGCUGCUUGCUUAAAAUCUAGGGUUAGGGUUACCAGAGAACUAAAAUUUCUCUCUUUACUAGCUUUUUUUUUUUAUUUUGCCCAUUGUCAAUUUGAAGUCCCUUUUCCAACAACUGUAGUUAUUUAUAUAUAUGCUUUAAUUAAUUCAUUCA
Populus trichocarpa (black cottonwood) is the source of this 1375-nucleotide long non-coding RNA. RefSeq lists it as uncharacterized. The transcript is spliced from 2 exons. The record is from RefSeq and is a predicted model, not a curated record. NCBI's taxonomy places the organism in Eukaryota, Viridiplantae, Streptophyta, Magnoliopsida, Malpighiales, Salicaceae.